This 253-nucleotide ribosomal RNA is filed under the name uncultured bacterium. RNAcentral describes it as "partial 16S ribosomal RNA". It matches the Rfam family "Bacterial small subunit ribosomal RNA", at positions 524 to 776 of the family's 1533-position model. The record is from RNAcentral.
UACAGCGGUCUCGAGCGUUAGGCGGAAUCACUGGGCUUAAAGCGUGUGUAGGCGGAUUGCUAAGUACCUUGUGAAAUCCCACGGCUUAACCGUGGAACUGCUUGGUAUACUGGCUGUCUUGAGCCACUUAGGGGCAACCGGAACAAACGGUGGAGCGGUGAAAUGCGUAGAUAUCGUUUGGAACGCCAACGGUGAAAACAGGUUGCUGGGGGUGUGCUGACGCUGAGACACGAAAGCCAGGGGAGCGAACGGG